This 492-nucleotide ribosomal RNA is filed under the name uncultured bacterium. RNAcentral describes it as "partial 16S ribosomal RNA". It matches the Rfam family "Bacterial small subunit ribosomal RNA", at positions 29 to 507 of the family's 1533-position model. The record is from RNAcentral.
AGUGAACGCUGGCGGUAGGCCUAACACAUGCAAGUCGAACGGCAGCACAGUAAGAGCUUGCUCUUACGGGUGGCGAGUGGCGGACGGGUGAGGAAUACAUCGGAAUCUACUUUUUCGUGGGGGAGAACGUAGGGAAACUUACGCUAAUACCGCAUACGACCUACGGGUGAAAGCAGGGGAUCUUCGGACCUUGCGCGAUUGAAUGAGCCGAUGUCGGAUUAGCUAGUUGGCGGGGUAAAGGCCCACCAAGGCGACGAUCCGUAGCUGGUCUGAGAGGAUGAUCAGCCACACUGGAACUGAGACACGGUCCAGACUCCUACGGGAGGCAGCAGUGGGGAAUAUUGGACAAUGGGCGAAAGCCUGAUCCAGCCAUACCGCGUGGGUGAAGAAGGCCUUCGGGUUGUAAAGCCCUUUUGUUGGGAAAGAAAAGCAGCAGGUUAAUACCCCGCUGUUCUGGCGGUACCCAAAGAAUAAGCACCGGCUAACUUCGUG